Molecule: non-coding RNA, 3497 nt
Organism: Nicotiana tabacum (common tobacco)
Lineage: Eukaryota; Viridiplantae; Streptophyta; Magnoliopsida; Solanales; Solanaceae
Source: RefSeq, a predicted model, not a curated record
GUUAUUAUUAUUUUCGUGGAUAUUAUUUCUGGGCGGGAUUAUUAUUUUUUUCCAACAUUUAUGAGCCACAAUAUUGCAAACUAAAGAUUGACUGCCCGGCUUAACAAGAGCAAAAUACAGUAGCUAAUAAGAGUGAGUAAGUAGAACAGAAUCAGAAUGAAUAUACAAGUGAGAGAACCACAUGUAGUUAUAGCCUAAGCCUAACGUUCACAUCUCUAGUUCCACUCUUACACGUUGCUCUGGGUGGUUCUUAGUGGCUGAUAUACUCGCCGGUUAUGGGAUAAACGUCAGGCAUAGUGAAUAUGAGUGGAUCAUGAAUAAUUUGGAGGCAGUUGAAGACCAAGCAAAACUUCAAACUAUAGCUUUAUCAAUGGAUCCCUACAGUCAUCUUUGGAGUGCUUUUAUCGAGCACUGCUCUUAUCUCCCCAGAAAGGAGCUGCCAGAUCAAAGAUAAUUCUCGUGAUGGCAAACAUCCUAUGUUCGUUCAUCCCCGCGGCAAAACUUAUCCCAAGCAACAUGGUGUCUCCAUGUGAACUAUCCACGUGUCAAGGUAAGAUUUUACUAAUACAGAUAGUCCUUUCAUUUUUCGAAUAAUUCUCGAGAAUUAUCGAAGAGUAGUAUGAUCUUUGGCGCGUUCCAAAAGAACUUUUUAGGCAGAAUUUACCACGCAACUGUCAUCAUUUUAAAUCUGAAAGGAUGUCCAAUCACAUUCAUUUAAAUCUUCGGAUAUGUGGCGGUCUUCAACGGGUUUUGACACCACAGAAAUUAUCAAGGUCAUGAUGACCUUGCCUGUAAGACUCGAUCCUUUCCUCUCUUCUUACUACUUGAACAUCUUAUUUGAAAUUUUUCCUGCAACUUCACUGUUGUUUCUAAGAAACCUUCAACUUUUUCAUUUCUCAUUUUUUUCUUCUCUUUUUAUCACCAUUUCUAAUGGCUUUCAAGGUACUUAGUCUGAGCUCAUGAAGUGACAUUAAUCGUCAAGAGCACAACCAUUGCUUCUCUACCGGCGAUCACUGCAGGUGUGAAGGAGAUGAUGGUGAAAGAGUCGUUCACACUUACUAGGAAAGGCAGGGCAACCAAAUCUACCACGAUGGUAAAAGAGGGGUCACCAGCUCCGUCGACGAAGGUAGAUUUGUUCAGGCUGCCAGGCCCACAACGGAAUUGGUUCCAGUCCCUGCCAAGAAAGGGAAAGGCCGACAUAACCUCUGACAAAGGAAAGAAAAAGCACAACGAGCUAAAACUUGUAGAGGUUCUCCCGUAGACAAUCAAUUUCAUUAGUCCAUGUGUUCCUUGGAGCAGUGCUCCAAAAAAAGCUUUACUGGAAAAACACCUUCAGCCAAUCCUGAAAGACUGUGCCUGGGAACGUAAGGUUCAGAUUUUCCUGCCUGAAGAAAAUGAGAACAUAAUCACACAUCGAGAGGGUUCCUCAUUUGUAUUUACUUACCUGUUCACCCUCGGUUUUAAGCUGGCUAUCGAUCCGAUGGUGAAGCAUUCUUUUUCAAGGCAUACAAUAUUUGCCUAGGUCAACUUGGACCAGAUGUGUAGUGAUCAGUGGCAUGCUUGAAGUUCCUUGAUAAAAAGGCACGAGAAAACUUUACUCUCAAGCAUCUCAUGUAAAUUUACUGCCCCAAGCUUUAUAAGGGGUCGAUGAUAAUGUUGGUGAAUCGGGGUACCUACACCCUUAUUGCCAAUGUAGAGGAAAAUUUCGACUGUAUAUGAUAUGAGAGGUUCGUUAGAGUACCAACCCAAAUAUUUCAAGCAAAAAUGACCUCCCCUUUCUGGAGAAGUGGAAUUUCAAAUAGGAGUGGGUCGAAAUUUUUUUGAAGUCGAUGAAGAUACAAGUGAGAACGUGGAAAGUGAUCUCUGCCAUCAAAAGAUGAGAGUUUAAAAAUUAUGGCGCCGGAUCUAGGAGAUCAUCAUCAACUUGGAUCGAGGUCAUUGAUCUUGUCCAACAGUCAUCCUUGCCGAAGAGAAAAUCCAGCAAAGAAGGGCGUUCUGCUCCUAAACCAAAUAAGCAGACGAAGAGCUUUAAAAGGGGACUCAAGAGAAAGAGGGGGGAGACAAUCCUCGGGUCUUGUCUUCAGUAACUCUUUCCCGGCUCGGGGAUGAUCCCAUGCAGAUGAACUUAUCCUUCCUCUUGCUACUCCUACCAUUCUCAUCAAGAAUAAUGACAAGCCAAAAUCACCCCCAAAGCGGAGACCCGACAAAGAAAAAAAGAUGUCGGAUGGAAAACUACGACACUCCUGUUCGAGGGAUUAGGUGAGUCAAGUGAGGUCCUUCUAGAGGGGCCUAAACUUAGUUCCGUCGGGUCUGAGGUAGAUUCAUACUUUAGUUCUUGUCCUAAGAUAUCCCUAUGCUCCGAACCCAAAGAUUUUACUAUUCCAAAGAGGCAAGUGCUGGUAGAAAUACCUUUGUAUGUGAACAUUUUUUGUAGGCCCAAGAAGAUUAUUCCAUAGUUCAAAGGUUUUAUUGGGUCUUUGGAAUAAGAAUUCAUGGUUAGGGAUUCGAUAAAAGCCCUAGAAAAUUAUGUAAUAUAAUCUGGUUUGAAAGUGAAGUUCCAAACAUCUCUUUUUUUGCCGAUUCAUGUUAUUUUCUCAUUUUUCCAAUGGCCUAUUUUUAGCUCAACCUGACAGCAGCAGAACUGUAUGCAAGAAUUGCAAAAAGUGAUGCUAUCUGGCGUGAGCAAGAAAAAGAGAUCUAGAGGUUGACAAAAACCCUAGCCAAGAGGGAUUCAAAGAAGGAAGCUAUGUCCGUAGAGAUCAAAUAAGCUUUCAAAAAUAUCCGCUAACUAGAGCGGGAGAAUGAGGCUCAAGAGUUAGAGUUUUCAUAGAAAUUCAGAGAGCUGGAUCAGAAAGUGUAGGAUCUUGAAGUCAUUAUCUAGAAGUUUGAGGACCAAUAUAUUAGUCUGGUUGAAGAACGGAGCAAGGCUAUCUCCAAGAGGAAGGCCCUGGAGAAUUGGUGCUGGGGCUGUCCAAUGAGGUAAACGAGCUAAAAGGGGCUCUAAAAAUAUUUGAUAUGGAGAGGAACAAAUUCUAAUCCCAGCGAGUCGAUGUUUCCUAGAAGUUGAAGACGACUAGAGAUGAGGCAGAAGAGGAUAAAAAGUAUGCCUACUCGUUGGCUCAUCAAAAAGUCCUCUAUAAGAUUCGUUCUAAGUCCUUGGAUGAGGAGAUUUUUAAGGUGGAUGACAUUAUUGAGAGGACGAGGCCCACGAGUUCCUCUGCUUCUGAUGACUCCGAAGGGUCCGAUAAUGAAGACGAAAAAGAAAAUAAAGACGCGACCUUAUUCAACUCGCUGAGUCCCCUGGAACGAGGGUAAUGAAGCAAAUCCUUCACCUCUAGUUCUCUCAGUUGCACCUUCUUCAUCUCUUUCUUCUCUUCCUCUCAAGCACCUUUUCCGAGAUCAAGAGACCUAUGAAGGUCUUUUUUGUAAUGUAUUUUCAUUUUAUAUGUAUUAUGGGCAUUUUGAGCUUUUGGUAAUAAAUGACCUGUUUAAUUGUA